AAAAAAGGAGGAAAAAAAAAAAAAACUUUGUCCGGCCUACUGAGCAUGCCCGACUUCCUUCCCUCCGUCCCCCGCCCCCCCCCAAGUCCCUCCCGGCUUCCACUCCCCGAGGAGCCCCGGAGCGGAGUUGUUUGCGCCGCGUUUAACUCCGGAUCCUCCCGCGUUAGCGCUCCGGGUUUUAAGAUGCCCGAGAGGAGGGAGGAGGUGGCAGCGGGGGACUCGCACACAUCUGGCCUCCGGUUGGUUCCCUCCCUCCUCCCAAACCCCUGGAUUAAAAAUCGGAGGGAAGAGGAGGAGGGGGAAGACGGCACAUUAACUUGAAGAAGACCAGCUGUUUGUAAGGAAAGGAUGGCUUGGAUGAAAGAAUAUGGAAGGAAUUACGCUCACUUGCAGGAUGAGGAAAUGCAGGUAAGUGGUGUCUGCUGACUUCACAGUGGGAACCUGUGGUAGGUAAAUAAACAAGACUGAAUAAGCCUUCCGCAGCUAUGUUUGUAUGAAAGUGGUUUUAGAUAAGCCUCUGCUCCUUCAUCCUUUUCCAGACUCCCCUCCUCCACAUUUCCCACACAUUCCCUGUUUCCUGGCUGCAAACAUCCCAUCUCUCUGCCCCCUCAUCUCCUUCUUUUCCUGACUCACCCUUCACAGUCUCCCAGCAAAGCCCAAUAUCCUCUUGUCUGUCAAAGCCAGCCCCAGACAAUCAUCAUGAUGUCCCAGAUUCAAGGAAGGAGCCAGUGCCCUAUGGUCAGCUUCCAAGGGCACAGAACUAAAAUGCUAGACAUUCAGUGCGGGUUUGCUGUGAGGGCAGUUGACCUGACCCAGGGCUUCAGAUAGGAACACAUCUUCCAAGGAUGAUCUGUUUCAGAUCCUGGCAUUGUUCAAAUGCCAACAAGGUAAGGAAUGGAGAUGUCUUCUGUUCCAACACCUCUAUUUUUUGCUCCUCAAUUUUUUUUUCUGAAUUUUAAAAAAUUUAUAAUAAAGUUAAAUGGAAAAGCAAUGAAUCCAUGGAUUCAACUAGAUUAACAGUUGUUAGCAUUUGCUUUCCUUUUCUAUCCUCUUUUCUUCUUUCAUACUUGAGAUUGUCUAUUCUCUAUCUAUCUGUUUAUCUAUCUAAAGUUGGGGAGGAAAAAUUUUUCCUCUACUCUUCUUGAUUCUUUGGUUGGUCUAAUAAUCAAAUCAAUGUAAGACAGAUUAACAGGAGGAAAAUGAAUUUAAUUAUAUACACAUGGGACCCCCCAUAAGAAUCUGAGACCUGAGGGCAAGAGUGGUUGUAAGCUUAGAUGCCACCCUGAGAUAAGUAAUGGGAUAGGGGCCUGGGACUUCAAAGGGGAGGGGGUAAGUUUCAGGACAGCAAGAAGAGCAGAUGUUUGGCAAUUAGGUGGUUGCCCUGCCAAACAAAUGGGUUUCCCAGGUGGUACUAGUGGUACAGAACCCUCCUGGCAGUGCUGGAGACAUAAGAGAUGCAGGUUCGAUCCCUGGGUCAGAAAGAUCCCCUGGGGGUGGGCAUGGCAACCCACUCCAGUAUUCUUCCCUGAGAAUCUCACAGACAGAGGAGCCUGGUGGGAUACAGUCCAUAGGGUCACAAAGAAUCAGACACAACUGAAACGACUUUAGCAUGCACACAUGCUGGACAGAUAGGUCAUUUAGAUGAAAGUUAUCUCUGGUAAUAGCUGUCUCUGAGCCAGGCCUUCUAUCUAAAUUCUUUUAGGCAGUUAAGGGGAGGUAAAAAGUUCUUCCUUCGUCUUUUGGGUAUCCAUUAUCUUCAGCUCAGAAUAAUUCGCAUGGUGAAAUGGCGCAUUUCGGGGAGGCUUGUUCUGAACCCCUUCACUAUCCACAUACACAUACAUGGUAAACCUUUUGAAAGUUAAUUGAAGACAACUUGAUACUUCACUGCAAACACUUCAUCAUGCUUUUUCAAAAGGUUAAAGACAUUUUCUUAUAAAACACAAUCUCAUUAUCACAUCCACAAAAUCUAAAAUUAGUGAAAUAUUAUUAUCUGAAAGUCCCAAGUUUUCCAAUUGCCCCAGAAAUAUCUUUAAAAGUCUUUCCCAUUCCAUGCCCCUCACCUUCAACCCAAUCAAGGAUCAGCUGUUGCAUUGUUUUGCACUGGUUUGUCACAGCUCUUUGGUUUCCUUUCAUUUAGAACAGUCUCCUCACCUGUUGUUCUUGUUUGUCUUUCACAACAUUGACAUUUUUAGAGAGUCCAGACCAGUUGUCCUUUUGAAUGGCUUAAACCUGGACUUGCCAAAGUGUUUCCUUGAGAUCAGGCACUCUGGAUAAAUAUUUUUGGCAAGAACAUAACAUGGAUAUUUCAGGGAUUUCCCAUUGCAAGUCCUCAGGAGGUGUAUAUCAAUUUGCUCUGUUAUUGGUGAUGCUAAUUUUGACGGCUUAGUUUUGGUGGUGCCCAUCAGAUAGUUCUGUUGUAAAGGUACUUUUUACCCUUUGUCAGUAAUGAAGAAUAAAAGAGAAGUAAUACUCUGAGACCAAGAAAUAUCCUGUUCUCCAAACAUUUUACCCAGUGGCUUAGCAACUAUUGAUAAUCUUUGCCCAAAGCAUUUAUUAUUUCAUCAGUGGUUGGAAAAUGGUAAUCUUCUGAUUAUUUCAUUCCUUCUACACUUAUUAUCUAUCAUUUAUUUGUUGGAAAAAAAGCAUCCCAUCCCACCUUUUAAAAAUGUGUAACUCUGAGUUCUAGAUUCCUUUUCCUUUUGUUCAAUGUUGUAAUCCUUUAUUAUCACCGUUUUUAAUGUUCAGAUUUGGUCCAUAGAGCCAUUAUCUUUAAUAUUUGAUUAUUCAUAUUGACUUCUAAGAUUAUUAUUCUAGGGCAAACAGUUUUCUGUUGCUUUGUAUUUUGUUUUUGUUUUUUUGGAGUAGGGUUUGGGAUUAGAUUCUGGACCAGAAAUUUGAAGCUCUAAUUAGGAUUCCAUGUUCUGAGAUGUGUAGCCAUUUGAAGAAUUUCUAGUUGGCUUAAACCACAUGUGCUCAUGAAAUAUGAAUCAGAAAAAAAGAAACUAAUUUAUUUAGUCAGAAAAGAUGAAGUCAUAGAGGGGUCACCAGAAACCACCAUUUUCAUUACACCAUGAAAUUAUCUGGACAUGGAACAACAGACUGGUUCCAAAUAGGAAAAGGAGUAUGUCAAGGCUGUAUAUUGUCACCCUGCUUAUUUAACUUCUAUGCAGAGUACAUCAUGAAACACUGGACGGAAGAAACACAAGCUGGGAUCAAGAUUGCCAGGAGAAAUAUCAAUAACCUCAGAUAUGCAGAUGACACCACCCUAUGGCAGAAAGUGAAGAGGAACUAAAAGC
Molecule: long non-coding RNA, 3296 nt
Filed under: Bos grunniens (domestic yak)
Lineage: Eukaryota; Metazoa; Chordata; Mammalia; Artiodactyla; Bovidae
Description: lncRNA (ENSBGRG00000012848.1)
Source: RNAcentral